RNAcentral lists this ribosomal RNA (433 nucleotides) under uncultured bacterium. Its description in RNAcentral is "partial 16S ribosomal RNA". It matches the Rfam family "Bacterial small subunit ribosomal RNA", at positions 29 to 507 of the family's 1533-position model. The record is from RNAcentral.
AACGAACGCUGGCGGCAGGCUUAACACAUGCAAGUCGAACGCACCUUCCGGGGUGAGUGGCAGACGGGUGAGUAACGCGUGGGAAUCUACCCUUCUCUACGGGAUAGCUCCGGGAAACUGGAAUUAAUACCGUAUACGUCCUGAGGGAGAAAGAUUUAUCGGGGAAGGAUGAGCCCGCGUUGGAUUAGCUAGUUGGUGGGGUAAAGGCCUACCAAGGCGACGAUCCAUAGCUGGUCUAAGAGGAUGAUCAGCCACAUUGGGACUGAGACACGGCCCAAACUCCUACGGGAGGCAGGAGUGGGGAAUAUUGGACAAUGGGGGCAAGCCUGAUGCAGCCAUGCCGGGUGAGUGAUGAAGGCCGUAGGGUUGUAAAGCUCUUUCAGGGGGGACGAUAAUGACGGUACCCACAGAAGAAGCCCCGGCUAACUUCGUG